GUUGACCUGUAUAUGCAGAGGAUUUCCUCAGUUCAAGAACACGAGUUCUUCGUCUCCUAUCUCCACUCCCUAAAGAGAUCAUUGCUCAGUCACUUUAUGUUUACCCGCCUGGAGAAAUACCAUUUGGCUCUCAGUUUUCUUGAAUUUUGCCAGGGAGCCACUGUGGAAUCAGCAUCCCUGAGGCAGGGCCAAGGGUGCAGGUUUAAAACGAGCCUCCCAGGUCUUACUCAAGGACGACGUUCAAGGACGACGUGUCUAGGCAUCUCUCAGUUCCUUUCCAGAAGAGGGCGGUUCCCAGGCUAGCCCCGCCCUCCCCCAGUCCCAUCUUUGGCUGGCCCCUUCACGGAGUCCUCCCUGCCGCCUACCGAGCUCGAAAUUUCUGGAAGUGUCCUUGACUUCCCAUAAUUCCGUGGGCCUCUUCGUACACCAGCUCCUUGCUCUGUAAGAGGAUUGUGUUAGCGCCCCAUCCUAUGCGGCCAAGGGGGGAGGGUAAUUCGAGUUUUCUUCUGGAGCCUAUUAGUACCGGUCUGGCAAUGCCAGAGGAGAAGGAGAAAUGGAAUGUAGUGGACUUCCCCAGACGACCAGAUUACAGGUUUUGGGCUUUCCCCCUCGGAGUUUUCCUCCAGUUACUGCCUGGCCUCCCGGCAAGCCACAAAGUCAUUGAAGAGCAUUCCUGAACCGAGGGAGGCAUGGCCCCGAUUCUGGGUGUAGCGAGGGGCAGGAAGGAGGGUGCAGCGGCAGCCUUUCCUUCUCAGCCCCAGCUGGAGUUGAGCCCCAUACACACCUGCUUCCCUCUGGGUCCCCAUGGUUCCCAGUUAGGCAUAUGGGCUCACCUGGACUCCUCACACCUCAAGCCCUGCCCCUUCCAGUGGGAUGACUCCCCUUGGCUACAGGAUGCACAGUUCCCACAACGGGUCUAUUGUGGCUGGCCUUUUCAUUCCAGAUGUCUUUGAUCUGGCCUCUAGGAGGUGGAAGCCUGCUGGAGGGCCCCACCUGGCCUUUGGGAGAAUUUCUCUGCAGAGCCUUCUUUCUGCUCCUCAGGCUGCCCCUCCUGGAGGGUUCCCCACCCACUUCUAGUCCCAGUCCCUGGGCUGCUCCCUUGUCUCCCACAUCCUCACUGGCACCACUUCCAUUCCCACACAAGGUAACUGGUAACUCAACUGAAGAAGAUGACCCUAUCUUCUGCAUCAUAACGUGAAUAUAUACUUGAUAAAAGCCUCAAAUAACUUUUUGGCUGCCAUAUUUUGCUACCUCAAAGGAGAAAACAGAAAAAGGAGUACUGAUGAUGGAAGCAUCUGGUCCCUCUUGCAGAACGAUGAAUGAUUUUAUUGGCGGCAGCUGGGUGGCAGGGCAAUACAGGCAUCCAGUUGUGCCUGAACCCCAACAAGUGAAAUCUUUGUUCAUUUCCUUUUUAUACACCCAUCUGCCGCCUAAAACCUGACACCAUUUAAUGGUGCCCUUGGUCAAAUCUAAAUGCUUUUACUUUCAUAAUCCUCUGAUUCUAUCUUGAAGAGUCAAGAUGAACUCUAACUCAUGGGAUGGACAAAAUGGAAGAUGUAAAUAAGUAAGCUUUUCAGAGCUAAAAAGCCUCUUUUUAUACAAAAUUAAACUUUAAAAGUACAUUGACCUCGAAACAAUAUAAUUGUCUUGGAUAUGCAAGAAAAAUAGCAGUAUAAAUAUUUAGCAUCAUACCCACAAUGAACAUCUGUGGCUACCCAACCUGUUCAUAUGCCUCAUUAAUUAUAGGCCUUACUCUGAAUGUUUCUUGUUCUAUCUUUGUAUUCCCACCAGCCAAGGAGUUCUUUUAUAAAUUAUAACAUUCCCCAUAUGUGCAAUGCUAAUAUAACUUGUGGAGGGAGAGAGAAAGCCUUUCUCUCCUAUUCCUGAAAAAUCACUGACCUAUUCCUUGAGUCUAUGAGUAACAACUCCCUACUCAGUCCCUAAAACUAAAAAGCUUGAUCACCUUCAAAGUAGAUUAAAAAAAUGUGUUCAAGUGGUAGCUGACAAGAAUUCACUGUAACCAGAACUGUGUGGUGGAUAAUGCAUAAUAUGAAAUAAACCUUUAUACAAAAAUAGUUUCUUAUAAUGUUACCUAUCAUGAGAGUUUUCAGUAAAAUUGUAAAUUAUGCUGCUGGUAUAUGUUGACCAAUGAAAGGCAGUAACGAAACUACAUUACCAAUUACUAAAAGUUUAUACAUACAUAAAAUAAAAGUUUUAACAUCUUCAUUGUAAUUCCUAUGUUUGGCAAUACCAUCUACUUAAAUUCUGGUAUGUGUUUGAAAAUAAAAGUUUUAUUUUCUUUUAAAUAUUCUA
Long non-coding RNA from Neofelis nebulosa (Clouded leopard), 2313 nucleotides. RefSeq lists it as uncharacterized. Lineage: Eukaryota; Metazoa; Chordata; Mammalia; Carnivora; Felidae. The record is from RefSeq and is a predicted model, not a curated record. The transcript is spliced from 2 exons.